UUAACCAACUACAGUCCCCAGAAUUCUCUGAGGGAUAAGAAUGCGCUUCAAAGGCACACAGUCUUUUGCCUCGGACCUUUUCGAAGAAUGCAUCUGCGUGGCUUCUUAUGUGCGCAGCCUGUAGCGUGGUCAAGACAGGAACCAUUAAUGGGCUUUAAAAUAGCGUAGACAACUGAAGAGCACCAGGCUCCACUCUUCACCACCCCAGCCACCAGCUCCUUGGCGCUGGACCUCCUUCUUUAAAUUGUGCUUGCUUGCUUGGGUUUAUAAAUAUAGAAACCUAAGCUAUACGAUGCCCCCCCUCCAAACUUGCCCCUCCCAUCUCAGCCUGGUGCAGUUCCUUCAGCUGCUCCUAUACUUGGUAUGACCUUUUCCCAUCUCUUCCCCACCCCCUUCCCGGCCCUCUCCCUUUCCUUGCUCUUUUCCUCCCCAGUGUUGUGAGCCUGGUGGCCAAUGAGCUUCUCCAGAAGAUCAAAUGUCCCUAUAACAGGAGGACUUAAUCGCCUGGUGGAGUUUGCAGACCCCGCAGCCUUUCUCCCAUUCGGCAGAAAGCUCCUUGCUUCUCACAGCAGCUCCCCCCUCUCAGGGUCCCACGAUCUACCAGGAUCAGCCAGGGAUCUACUGGUAGAUCAUGAUCUACUGGUUGGAGAUGCCUGAUAUACAGCUACUAAACCUGCCAACAUGUCUGACAACGAAGAAGUGUAAGUAGAAGCGUAUCAAUAUUACCAUUGGUUUUAAAGGGCAUUUUUUUGGGGGGGGAGGGAGGUUUUCUGGUAGUAUGAAACAACUGGCCCUCACAGGUACGAAGUCAAUGACCUGUUCCGAAAUCAAUGAGGAGAAGCAACACCUAAUUUUACUGCAUUUAUUUAUUUAUUUAUUUAUUUAUUUAUUUAUGAAGUCAUAUGACCUAGGGCCAAAUCCACAACCUUAAAUAGCCGGUGCUUUUUGCUGCUUGCACAGAUCAUGGGCAGAAUGUACCGUAUUUUUCGCCCUAUAGGACGCACCGGCCCAUAGGACACACCUAGAUUUUGGGGGGUAAAAUAAAGGGGAAAAAAUUAUUUCCCCCCCCAGGCGCGGGGCUGGGGCGGGGGAAGCGCGGGCUUCCCCGACGCCAGCCCCCAGAACAGAACCCAGAGGAGCAGGACCUCUGGGAGCGUGUGGGAGCAGAACAGGACCUCUGGGAGCUUGUGGGGCUGGGGGCGGGGAAAGCAGAGCUUCCCUCUCCCCCAGCCC
This 1233-nucleotide long non-coding RNA is filed under the name Podarcis muralis (Common wall lizard). Its description in RNAcentral is "lncRNA (ENSPMRG00000005684.1)". The record is from RNAcentral. Lineage: Eukaryota; Metazoa; Chordata; Lepidosauria; Squamata; Lacertidae.